UACAGAGGUCCCGAGCGUUGUUCGGAUUCAUUGGGCGUAAAGGGUGCGUAGGCGGGUCUUUAAGUCAGGGGUGAAAUCCUGGAGCUCAACUCCAGAACUGCCUUUGAUACUGAAGAUCUUGAGUUCGGGAGAGGUGAGUGGAACUGCGAGUGUAGAGGUGAAAUUCGUAGAUAUUCGCAAGAACACCAGUGGCGAAGGCGGCUCACUGGCCCGAUACUGACGCUGAGGCACGAAAGCGUGGGGAGCAGACAGG
RNAcentral lists this ribosomal RNA (253 nucleotides) under uncultured bacterium. Its description in RNAcentral is "partial 16S ribosomal RNA". It matches the Rfam family "Bacterial small subunit ribosomal RNA", at positions 524 to 776 of the family's 1533-position model. The record is from RNAcentral.